UGGCUUAGAAGCAGCCAUCAUUUAAAGAAAGCGUAAUAGCUCACUGGUCGAGUCGGCCUGCGCGGAAGAUGUAACGGGGCUAAGUAGUAAACCGAAGCUGCGGCAAUGUGCUUUUGCACAUUGGGUAGGGGAGCGUUCUGUAAGCGGUUGAAGGUGUGUGGUAACGCAUGCUGGACGUAUCAGAAGUGCGAAUGCUGACAUGAGUAACGAUAAAGGGGGUGAAAAACCUCCUCGCCGGAAGACCAAGGGUUCCUGUCCAACGUUAAUCGGGGCAGGGUAAGUCGACCCCUAAGGCGAGGCCGAAAGGCGUAGUCGAUGGGAAACGGGUUAAUAUUCCCGUACUUCUUACAAUUGCGAUGGGGGGACGGAGAAGGCUAGGUGGGCCUGGCGACGGUUGUCCAGGUUCAAGUGCGUAGGCUUAAGAGUUAGGUAAAUCCGGCUCUCUUUAAGGCUGAGACACGACGUCGAGCACCUACGGGUGUGAAGUCAUUGA
This 493-nucleotide ribosomal RNA is filed under the name Vibrio parahaemolyticus. Its description in RNAcentral is "partial 23S ribosomal RNA". It matches the Rfam family "Bacterial large subunit ribosomal RNA", at positions 1102 to 1597 of the family's 2925-position model. Lineage: Bacteria; Pseudomonadati; Pseudomonadota; Gammaproteobacteria; Vibrionales; Vibrionaceae. The record is from RNAcentral.